AAUAGAUACCCUGGUAGUCCACGCCGUAAACGAUGAGUGCUAAGUGUUAGAGGGUUUCCGCCCUUUAGUGCUGCAGCUAACGCAUUAAGCACUCCGCCUGGGGAGUACGGUCGCAAGACUGAAACUCAAAGGAAUUGACGGGGGCCCGCACAAGCGGUGGAGCAUGUGGUUUAAUUCGAAGCAACGCGAAGAACCUUACCAGGUCUUGACAUCCUCUGACAACUCUAGAGAUAGAGCGUUCCCCUUCGGGGGACAGAGUGACAGGUGGUGCAUGGUUGUCGUCAGCUCGUGUCGUGAGAUGUUGGGUUAAGUCCCGCAACGAGCGCAACCCUUGAUCUUAGUUGCCAGCAUUUAGUUGGGCACUCUAAGGUGACUGCCGGUGACAAACCGGAGGAAGGUGGGGAUGACGUCAAAUCAUCAUGCCCCUUAUGACCUGUGCUACACACGUGCUACAAUGGAUGGUACAAAGGGCUGCAAGACCGCGAGGUCAAGCCAAUCCCAUAAAAACCAUUCUCAGUUCGGAUUGU
This 527-nucleotide ribosomal RNA is filed under the name uncultured bacterium. RNAcentral's name for it is "bacterial SSU rRNA". It matches the Rfam family "Bacterial small subunit ribosomal RNA", at positions 777 to 1301 of the family's 1533-position model. The record is from RNAcentral.